This 1534-nucleotide long non-coding RNA is filed under the name Bemisia tabaci. RNAcentral describes it as "lncRNA ENSSSA1NGG005539". Lineage: Eukaryota; Metazoa; Arthropoda; Insecta; Hemiptera; Aleyrodidae. The record is from RNAcentral.
CUCUAUUUCGCAAAAAUGCAAUAAUUAUAAGAAUUACACAGCAAACGCAUGGAGAAUACUUUCAUGAAACAUGCCGUGUGUUUCGACUUCGGAUGCGUCAAUGGUUCGGCGGUUUCAGGGUAUUCGAGACUUCUUAUAGCCCGCGUUAAUGCCGAUUUCACCGAUUACAGGGAGGAGGGGGGUGGUUCGCAGUCGGUGCGCGCAUUCAAAUUAUCCCCAGAUUGCCGCCAAAACGUGUGAUUGGUCAGUGUCAAAUAGCUGCAAAAGGAGCGGGAAAAGUAGUUUGUUCAACAGACUGUAGAGACGCUAGUGUUUGUUAUGGUUUGUUGUGAUAAAAAACGUUCAUUCCGUCGCAUGCUCAUCCCACAAUUAUUUUAUUUUGCCGAAUUAUUUUUGUGUUAUUUCAAUUCAGUACAUGUAGUCUUGAGAUAUAUGUGAAUAGUGUUGCUUCACAAUUCAUCAGCAGCAGAAUCGGAGCUCUUCGGAGGUAAUGGUGCUACCUACGAUCAAAGCCUACGAUUUUGUUUUCAUCUCGCCGUCCCCUGAGUCUGACUCGGCGAUUCCCCGACUGUUCGAAUUCCACGAGGCUUCUUUUGCGCCCAAUUGCCAAUCUAAUCCAAUUUCAGGAUGAUCACAAAUCAAGAAUGCCUGUACCUGACGUCGACAGGGAAACUACAACAAAUAGACAUGGGUGGACAAAACAGCGAUAUUGCUUUCAGCAGAUGAAAAAACCUUGUUUUCUUUCAUUGACCAACAAGCGUUGUCAAGAACAAAAUGGAUGACAGGACAGUGUUGCCCCACAGACAUAACAGUUCCCUUUUACUCUUCGCAAUGGAGAUUUUACUCUGGAAAAACUCUACUACAAGCCUGUCAAAAUACCUUGCUUCUGCCAUAUUAUGGAUUACUCAGUGGAGUUUCUUCGAAAGGAAUGGUACUCCCCAGUGUUGUUAUCGGGAAAAAUUUGAAAUGGGCUAGUUGUGCUGAACGCAGAGUUGUUUCCGUGUUGUUGAAGCUCAGAGGUAAGCAAAGAAUGAUGAGUACCCCCCCCCCCCCCAAAAAAAAGUGAUGAGAUCAGUUGGAUUACAUUUAGUAAAAAAGAAACCUGCAUGAUUGCAGUGUUGUAAAAAUGUUGCUUCUUCUUAAUUAUCGAAAAAAGUCUCUCAGAAUAGCAAAUAGUUUUUUCUUCGCACCAGAUAAUUGUUAACUUUAAAGAAAAAGAAUUGUAUAGAUUUGAAAAUUGUGUGUAUCUGAAGUAUUUUCAAAAGAAAAGAAGUAGUUGCACAGUUUAAAAAAAACUGUAAUUGCGCUGGUUCCUUUCGCUAAAUGCGAUCCAGUUUAAAGACAUAGCCUCUACUCCGAUUAUUUGUGUUUGAAAAAUAUUUAGAUGACAUGGAUUACAUUUUGCAAGAAGGAACCAUGAACAUUCCAAUGUCCCUAAGAUUGUGCAACUUUUCUUACCUUGCAAAUAUAAAUUAAUCAUCUAAACUAGUUUUAUUUUUAUCCUCAAUAAACUAUAUCUUCAAGACAAAAACUG